Molecule: non-coding RNA, 72 nt
Organism: Phrynosoma platyrhinos (Desert horned lizard)
Lineage: Eukaryota; Metazoa; Chordata; Lepidosauria; Squamata; Phrynosomatidae
Source: the annotation of a GenBank genome assembly
GCCAGUGUGGCGCAGAGGUUUGAACAUUGGACUACAACUCUGGAAACCAGGGUUCGAUUCCUGGCUCGGCCA